GACGAAGGAUGCAAGCGUUAUCCGGAUUCAUUGGGUUUAAAGGGUGCGUAGGCGGACUUGUAAGUCAGUGGUGAAAUCUCUUCGCUUAACGAAGAAACUGCCAUUGAUACUGCAGGUCUAGAGUAUAGAUGACGUUGGCGGAAUAUGACAUGUAGUGGUGAAAUACUUAGAUAUGUCAUAGAACACCGAUUGCGAAGGCAGCUAACGAAACUAUAACUGACGCUGAGGCUCGAAAAGCGUGGGGGAGCAAACAGG
This 255-nucleotide ribosomal RNA is filed under the name uncultured bacterium. RNAcentral describes it as "partial 16S ribosomal RNA". It matches the Rfam family "Bacterial small subunit ribosomal RNA", at positions 524 to 776 of the family's 1533-position model. The record is from RNAcentral.